This is a long non-coding RNA of Homo sapiens (human), 3027 nucleotides long. RefSeq lists it as uncharacterized. The record is from RefSeq and is a predicted model, not a curated record. Lineage: Eukaryota; Metazoa; Chordata; Mammalia; Primates; Hominidae. The transcript is spliced from 2 exons.
AACGAUCACUCUCAAAGGUGCACGUCUGUUAGCUCCGACAGGAUGGUGUCCUAUCAGGGUCCUUUUCCCUGACUUGAGAAUGAAGAGUAUCUGUCAUGAAGGGAGAAGUCACAGUCAGCUGGAAUAAGGAGGCCGUCAGCAAGACAGGCUGUCAGGCUCUCCUGGGUUUUCUCUGAAAGACUUCAGCCCACACCUCCCCUUCUGGACACUGAGUGGGAAUAACAAGAAUCAGAGGCCGCCCCGAACAACAGAGCUCCAAGUGGAGCUCGGGGGUGAACUCAGAGUCCUGCUCUUUCUCCCCCUCAUUUGACCCCAGAGAGCAGCAGAAUACAGUGCAGUGGCUGUGAAAUGGAUUUUGAAUAGAUUAUGAUAUUCAUGAGCAUUUUUUGCGGGGGAGUCUCUUUUAAGUAGUGUUUUUUUUGACAAUUUUGGGACAUUUAAGUUAGCAAUGACAUCAAGAAUCUGAUGGAAACCAUAAGCUCUCACCACAGCAACAUGCGCACACCCACAAACUCAGUGGCUCAUGGACUCUCUGCAGGUCACUGAUGGUUCUUAGGUUAGGAAGGGGCUGGAGGCAUCUCACAAUAUUUAUUUGCUGGUUACCUGAUCCUAGCAUCUGUAAGUGUGCUCAAGCGAGCGGACGGGCAUGGAUCUGGAAUGCAGAGGAGCCCAGGCAUGAAGCAGCAGCACAGGCAGCAACUUGCUCUGACAACACCCCCUGACUUCUCUGACUGGAUGGGUUACACAACCCAGCGGCCUGUCAUCCUGACCAUCAGGUCAGAAAUGAUUGGUGAUAAAGUUAGUCACUCAGUCACUUAGAUAAGUGGGCAGGCAGUGAAGUCUGCUUCAUACACUACCUAUUAAGUUUAGUUCCAGUGUCAGGCAAGCAGCUGAGAUUCAACAUCAUUCAUUUAAACAGUUUUGUUUAUCUUGAGAUAUUUUUUAAGUUUCCUUUUCAUUUUCUCUUUGACCCACUGGUAGCUCAAGAGUGUAUUAUUUAGUUUCCAUCUAUUUGUGAAUUUUCCUGUUUUCUUACCAUUAUUGGUUUCUAAUUUUCUUCCAUUGUGGUAGGAAAAGAUACUCGGUAUGAUUUUCAACCUUUUUUUUUUUUUUUUUGAGACGGAGUCUUACUCUGUUGUCCAGGCUGGAGUGCACUGGCACAAUGUUGGCUCACUGCAACCUCUGCCUCCCAGGUUCAAGCGAUUCUCCUGCCUCCGCCUCCUGAGGAGCUGGGACUACAGGCACAUGCCACCAUGCCCAGCUAAUUUUUGCAUUUUCUUAGUAGAGACGGGGUUUCACCAUAUUGGCCAGGCUGGACUCAAACUCCUGACCUUGUGAUCCACCUGCCUCAGCCUCCCAAAGUGCUGGGAUUACAGGCAUAAGCCACCGCGCCCGGCUGAUUUGCAACUUUUUAAAAUUAGUUAAGAUUUGAUUUGUGACCUAAUGUGAUCCUAGGAAAGUUUUGUGGGCAUUUGGGAAGAAUGUGUAUUCUGCUAUUAUGUGGGAAGUUCUGUAUGUGUCUGUUGGAUCCAUUCAGAAUAUAGCAUCGAUCAAGUCAGCUGUUUCUGUAUUGCUCUUCUGCCUGGAUAUUCUAUUAUUACAAGUGGAGAAUUGAAGUCUCCUACUAUUAUGGUAUUGCACUCAAUUUCUCCCUUUGGAUCUGUCAAUAUUUGCUUUAUGUAUCUGUAUAUUUGGGUGCUAGUCACAUAAUUUGCAGUUUUUCAAAUGGAUUUUUGACUUUUCAUCAGCUUGGAAGAGCUUUUUUUAUCAUACAUAUGAACUGUGAAUAAAUUUUCUUAGUCGAUUUGGGUUGUUUUAGUCCCUCAAAGGUAUCUAAUGUUUUAUAGCGAAAUCCUUUCCCUUUUCUUUUACAGUUUCUAUAUUUUUGUUUUCAUGUAAAAGUUGUCACAAUCUCUACAACACACAUAGGUUUUCCUUUUUUAUUGUCUGUUUCACCAACUAAAAUAUGUUCUUCAUGUGGAAAAGGACAUAACCUAUCUUGUUCAUCAUUGUAUCACCAGUUCCUAGAGCAGGCCUCAAGUAUGUCAACAACUUAAUAAGUAUAUUGUGAGUACAUAAAUGAAAUUAUUUUUAUUUCUGUAAAACCCCUUGUGUAUGCACUUGACUGACUCAAGUAAAAUGGUCUGAACUGGAGAAAGGAACUAUUCCCUUCAAAGUAUGUCAUAGGGCCUUCAACUUACACUGUUAGUGCAACAAGAUCUCCAUCAUUGCUUAAGUGUGUCAAAACUCAGACAUUCAUCAAUAGCUCCAAUAAGACAAAGUUGUCAUAUGGGUUAGCCUCUGAUUUUUCUUUUUCAGAUGGAGUCUCUCAAGCUGGAGUGCAGUGGCGUGAUCUCGGCUCACUGCAACCUCUGCCUCCCGGGUUCAAGUGAUUCCUCCAGCUCAGCCUCCCAAGUAGCUGGGAUUACAGGAUUCCAUAUCAGGAUACCACAGGACACUGAGUCCUUAGGUUCUUCCCGGCUGUGAUCGUUUCUCAGGCCUACAUUGUUUUUGAUGACCUUGAUGGUUUUAGGGGGUACUAGUCAGGUGUUUUUGGGAACUGUUUCUCAGCUGAGGUUUGUCUGAUGUAGUGGGAUUAUUAGUUUUGGGAGGGAACAUGUCAAGGUAAAAUGCCAUUCUCAUCCUGUCGUAUGAUACACACUUUCAACUUGACUGAUCACUGCUCACACUGGCCUUGAUCACCUGGCUGAGACAGUGUUUGUUAGGUUUCUCCAACGUGAAGUUACUCUUUUUCCUCCUUUGCUAUACUGAGUUCUUGGUAGGAUGUCAUUAUGUGAAGCCCACAGUUUAGAAGUGGGGAGUGAUGCUCUGCUUCCUGGAGUGUCUGAUCUCCUUUUGAAAUGAUUUUUCAUGCUGAACACAGAGUAAUUAAAGUAAGAAAAAUACGGAUAUUGAAUGACUAGUUGCAAGAAGUCCAUUAUGACAUCUGACAUGAAAAAUUAUCUAUCUACCUGUCUAUUAAACGAUUAUAUCUGUGUAUACAAACAUUAAAUACUAAGCUAUGCA